CGGUAACUCCAGCUCCAAUAGCGUAUACUAAAGUUGUUGCAGUUAAAAAGCUCGUAGUUGGAUUUCUGCGGGGACGGAGCGGCCGGUCGCAACUUGCGACUCGAGCUAGCGCUUUCCCCGCAUCCUGCCGCGAACCGUGCUACCAUUAGUUUGGUGGCGCUGGGGAUCGGCUCGAUUACUUUGAGAAAAAUAGAGUGUUCAAAGCAGGCCACACGCCUUGAAUAAGUUAGCAUGGAAUAAUGACUAAGGACUUUGGUUCUUUUCGUUGGUGUUCGGGACUGAAGUAAUGAUUGAUAGGGACAGUUGGGGCGGUCCGUAUUCCAAAGCGAGAGGUGAAAUUCUUAGACCUUCGGAAGACGAACAGCUGCGAAAGCGUUCCGCAAGGAUGUUCCCUUUGAUCAAGAACGAAAGUUGGGGGAUCGAAGACGAUCAGAUACCGUCGUAGUCUCAACUAUAAACUAUACCAGCUAGGGAUCGGCCAACGUUUAAUUAUUCGACUUGGUCGGCACCUUAUGAGAAAUCAAAGCAUCUGGGUUCCGGGGGGAGUAUGGUCGCAAGGCUGAAACUUAAAGGAAUUGACGGAAGGGCACCACCAGGCGUGGAGCCUGUGGCUUAAUUUGACUCAACACGGGAAAACUUACCAGGUCCAGACAUAGGAAGGAUUGACAGAUUGAUAGCUCUUUCUUGAUUCUGUGGGUGGUGGUGCAUGGCCGUUUUUAGUCGGUGAAGUGAUUUGUCUGCUUAAUUGCGUUAACGGACGAGACCCCAGCCUGCUAAAUAGCGCGGCCGAGCUUUGCUCGGUACGAGCUUCUUAGAGGGACCAUGAUGCGCGAUAGCACAAGGAAGUUUGGGGCAACAACAGGUCUGUGAUGCCCUUAGAUGUUCUGGGCCGCACACGGGCUACACUGGCGCCUGCAACGAGCAUAUCAGCUGGCCCGAGAGGGUCUUGGCUAAUCUUUGGAACCGGCGCCGUGCUUGGGAUUGACCAUUGCAAUUGUUGGUCAUGCAACGAGGAAUGCCUUGUAAACGCGAGUCAUCAGCUCGCAUUGAAUACGUCCCUGCCCUUUGUACACACCGCCCGUCGCUCCUACCGAUGAAUGUUCCGAUGAAAUUUUCGGAGAGCGCCGGAGAACGGGGCUCUGCCCUGCAGAACUGGAGGCUCAAAGUCACUUAAAUCUGAACAUUUCGAGGAAGGAGAAGUCGUAACAAGGUAACC
This 1216-nucleotide ribosomal RNA is filed under the name uncultured Rhizaria. RNAcentral describes it as "SSU rRNA". It matches the Rfam family "Eukaryotic small subunit ribosomal RNA", at positions 577 to 1804 of the family's 1831-position model. The record is from RNAcentral.